UACAGAGGGGGCGAGCGUUGUUCGGAAUCACUGGGCUUAAAGGGCGCGUAGGCGGGCUACCAAGUCUGUGGUGAAAUCCUCCGGCUCAACCGGAGAACGGCCGUGGAUACUGGGAGCCUCGAGGGAGAUAGGGGCAGGCGGAACUGAUGGUGGAGCGGUGAAGUGCGUUGAUAUCAUCAGGAACUCCGGUGGCGAAGGCGGCCUGCUGGAUCUCAUCUGACGCUGAUGCGCGAAAGCCAGGGGAGCAAACGGG
RNAcentral lists this ribosomal RNA (253 nucleotides) under uncultured bacterium. RNAcentral describes it as "partial 16S ribosomal RNA". It matches the Rfam family "Bacterial small subunit ribosomal RNA", at positions 524 to 776 of the family's 1533-position model. The record is from RNAcentral.